This 545-nucleotide ribosomal RNA is filed under the name uncultured bacterium. Its description in RNAcentral is "partial 16S ribosomal RNA". It matches the Rfam family "Bacterial small subunit ribosomal RNA", at positions 355 to 889 of the family's 1533-position model. The record is from RNAcentral.
UGGGGAAUAUUGCACAAUGGGCGCAAGCCUGAUGCAGCCAUGCCGCGUGUGUGAAGAAGGCCUUCGGGUUGUAAAGCACUUUCAGCGAGGAGGAAGGUGGUGAACUUAAUACGUUCAUCAAUUGACGUUACUCGCAGAAGAAGCACCGGCUAACUCCGUGCCAGCAGCCGCGGUAAUACGGGAGGGUGCAAGCGUUAAUCGGAAUUACUGGGCGUAAAGCGCACGCAGGCGGUUUGUUAAGUCAGAUGUGAAAUCCCCGGGCUCAACCUGGGAACUGCAUUUGAAACUGGCAAGCUAGAGUCUCGUAGAGGGGGGUAGAAUUCCAGGUGUAGCGGUGAAAUGCGUAGAGAUCUGGAGGAAUACCGGUGGCGAAGGCGGCCCCCUGGACGAAGACUGACGCUCAGGUGCGAAAGCGUGGGGAGCAAACAGGAUUAGAUACCCUGGUAGUCCACGCUGUAAAACGAUGUCGAUUUUGGAGGUUGUGCCCUUGAGGCGUGGCUUCCGGAGCUAACGCGUUAAAUCGACCGCCUGGGGAGUACGGCCGC